Molecule: ribosomal RNA, 246 nt
Filed under: uncultured bacterium
Lineage: Bacteria
Description: partial small subunit ribosomal RNA
Rfam family: Bacterial small subunit ribosomal RNA
Source: RNAcentral
AGAAUCAACGCUGGCGGCGUGCCUAACACAUGCAAGUCGAACGAGAAAGUGGAGCAAUCCAUGAGUAAAGUGGCGCACGGGUGAGUAACACGUGACUAACCUACCUUUUAGUGGGGGAUAACCUAGGGAAACCUGGGCUAAUACCGCAUAACACUUACGAGUCAAAGCAGCAAUGCGCUUGGAGAGGAGUUCGCGGCCGAUUAGCUAGUUGGCGGGGUAAUGGCCCACCAAGGCGAUGAUCGGUAU